CCCAGUUUCAAGAUAUUCGUCUACUGUAAUCAAAAGUGCAUGGUGUUGGUGAAGAGCUAGACCAAUGGAACAGAAUAAAGAUCGAUAAGUGGAACAGAAUCAAGGACCAGAAAGAGAACUACACCCAUAUGUCCAAUGGGGCAUUGACAAAGGGACACCAGGGAACUUCUGGGCUCUUUCUCUGCCUUCAAGGAGGCUCUGCGACGCUGGGUCUAGUGCUGUCAGCCGACUUGGACCACACGGCCAGUUGUCUCCUCCUGCAUGGGCCGCCUAUUGGCGCAGGUGGAUCAGAGGGCUUCCAACAACACCAAUUGAUAACCGCAUAUGGUUUCUGUGGGCCAGGCAUCCAGGUGCAUCUAGCCAGGGACCUGUGUCUCAGGAUCUCUCACAAGGCUGCAGUCAAGAUGUCCUGUGGGUCUUCAGUCAUCUCCAGGCUUGUUGGGGGAAAAUCUGCUUGUGUGCUCACUCGGGUGGCUCUUAGCAGCCAGAGGUCCUCCACUGCGGUGAGCAAGAAAUAUUCAUUCCUUGCCACAUGGGCCUCUCCAUCAUACAGCCCACAAGGAGCAGGCGGCUUCCCUCGAAACCAAUGGUGAGGGAGCGAGAGCAAGCCCAAGAGGAGACCCAGUGUCUUUGUCUACGAGCCUCAGAAGUGCCAUGCUAUCUCUUGGGCCAUAUUCUGUCCUUUCGAAGUGAGGCAGGAGUUCCUGACUCUAAUCCAGUGGUAGAGUAUGGAACACAAAACGAUGUGUACCCUAGAAGGGAAUCGUUAGAGACCCUG
This is a long non-coding RNA of Mustela erminea (ermine), 778 nucleotides long. RefSeq lists it as uncharacterized. Lineage: Eukaryota; Metazoa; Chordata; Mammalia; Carnivora; Mustelidae. The record is from RefSeq and is a predicted model, not a curated record. The transcript has 3 exons.